This 744-nucleotide ribosomal RNA is filed under the name uncultured bacterium. RNAcentral describes it as "bacterial SSU rRNA". It matches the Rfam family "Bacterial small subunit ribosomal RNA", at positions 8 to 796 of the family's 1533-position model. The record is from RNAcentral.
AGAGUUUGAUCAUGGCUCAGAUUGAACGCUGGCGGCAGGCUUAACACAUGCAAGUCGAGCGGGCGUAGCAAUACGUCAGCGGCAGACGGGUGAGUAACGCGUGGGAACGUACCUUUUGGUUCGGAACAACUGAGGGAAACUUCAGCUAAUACCGGAUAAGCCCUUACGGGGAAAGAUUUAUCGCCGAAAGAUCGGCCCGCGUCUGAUUAGCUAGUUGGUGAGGUAAUGGCUCACCAAGGCGACGAUCAGUAGCUGGUCUGAGAGGAUGAUCAGCCACAUUGGGACUGAGACACGGCCCAAACUCCUACGGGAGGCAGCAGUGGGGAAUAUUGGACAAUGGGCGAAAGCCUGAUCCAGCCAUGCCGCGUGAGUGAUGAAGGCCCUAGGGUUGUAAAGCUCUUUUGUGCGGGAAGAUAAUGACGGUACCGCAAGAAUAAGCCCCGGCUAACUUCGUGCCAGCAGCCGCGGUAAUACGAAGGGGGCUAGCGUUGCUCGGAAUCACUGGGCGUAAAGGGUGCGUAGGCGGGUCUUUAAGUCAGAGGUGAAAUCCUGGAGCUCAACUCCAGAACUGCCUUUGAUACUGAGGAUCUUGAGUUCGGGAGAGGUGAGUGGAACUGCGAGUGUAGAGGUGAAAUUCGUAGAUAUUCGCAAGAACACCAGUGGCGAAGGCGGCUCACUGGCCCGAUACUGGCGCUGAGGCACGAAAGCGUGGGGAGCAAACAGGAUUAGAUACCCCGGUAGUCC